Molecule: ribosomal RNA, 535 nt
Filed under: uncultured bacterium
Lineage: Bacteria
Description: bacterial SSU rRNA
Rfam family: Bacterial small subunit ribosomal RNA
Source: RNAcentral
CACUGAUGGAUGAGCCUGCGGCGCAUUAGCUAGUUGGUAGGGUAAAGGCCUACCAAGGCGACGAUGCGUAGCCGACCUGAGAGGGUGAACGGCCACACUGGGACUGAGACACGGCCCAGACUCCUACGGGAGGCAGCAGUAGGGAAUCUUCGGCAAUGGGCGAAAGCCUGACCGAGCAACGCCGCGUGAAUGAUGAAGGCCUUCGGGUUGUAAAAUUCUGUUAUAAGGGAAGAAUGGCUCUAGUAGGAAAUGGCUAGAGUGUGACGGUACCUUAUGAGAAAGCCACGGCUAACUACGUGCCAGCAGCCGCGGUAAUACGUAGGUGGCGAGCGUUAUCCGGAAUUAUUGGGCGUAAAGAGCGCGCAGGUGGUUGAUUAAGUCUGAUGUGAAAGCCCACGGCUUAACCGUGGAGGGUCAUGGAAACUGGUCAACUUGAGUGCAGAAGAGGGAAGUGGAAUUCCAUGUGUAGCGGUGAAAUGCGUAGAGCUAUGGAGGAACACCAGUGGCGAAGGCGGCUUCCUGGUCUGUAACUGAC